CGCGGCCUAUCAGCUUGUUGGUGGGGUGAUGGCCUACCAAGGCGACGACGGGUAGCCGGCCUGAGAGGGUGUCCGGUCACACUGGGACUGAGAUACGGCCCAGACUCCUACGGGAGGCAGCAGUGGGGAAUAUUGCACAAUGGGCGCAAGCCUGAUGCAGCGACGCCGCGUGGGGGAUGACGGCCUUCGGGUUGUAAACCUCUUUCAGCCAUGACGAAGCUUUCGGGUGACGGUAGUGGCAGAAGAAGCACCGGCCAACUACGUGCCAGCAGCCGCGGUAAUACGUAGGGUGCGAGCGUUGUCCGGAAUUACUGGGCGUAAAGAGCUCGUAGGUGGUUUGUCGCGUUGUUCGUGAAAACUCACAGCUUAACUGUGGGCGUGCGGGCGAUACGGGCAGACUGGAGUACUGCAGGGGAGAUUGGAAUUCCUGGUGUAGCGGUGGAAUGCGCAGAUAUCAGGAGGAACACCGGUGGCGAAGGCGGGUCUCUGGGCAGUAACUGACGCUGAGGAGCGAAAGCGUGGGGAGCGAACAGGAUUAGAUACCCUGGUAGUCCACGCCGUAAACGGUGGGUACUAGGUGUGGGUUCCGUCCUUGGGAUCCGUGCCGUAGCUAACGCAUUAAGUACCCCGCCUGGGGAGUACGG
Molecule: ribosomal RNA, 644 nt
Filed under: uncultured bacterium
Lineage: Bacteria
Description: bacterial SSU rRNA
Rfam family: Bacterial small subunit ribosomal RNA
Source: RNAcentral